UUAACUAUUGUAUAGUACUCAGACGACACUAACGUUCAGGGUUUGGGGUCCUUUGGCGGGCGCGUACCAGCGGGGGGCCGGUAGCCUGGCCGGGGCCUGGCGGCCCGCCAAAGCAACAAAGGUAACAAUAACACAGGGUGGGAGAUCUACCCGUGAGGGCACGAACUCUGUAAUGAUCCCUCCGCAGGUUCACCUACGGAGA
RNAcentral lists this unclassified non-coding RNA (202 nucleotides) under uncultured fungus. Its description in RNAcentral is "sequence contains ITS1, 5.8S rRNA gene". The record is from RNAcentral. Lineage: Eukaryota; Fungi.